This 453-nucleotide long non-coding RNA is filed under the name Ananas comosus (pineapple). Its description in RNAcentral is "long non-coding RNA (ACOM_LNC022967)". Lineage: Eukaryota; Viridiplantae; Streptophyta; Magnoliopsida; Poales; Bromeliaceae. The record is from RNAcentral.
UCACCGUGCACAAGUUUUUUUUUUAAAAACGAAAAAAAGUAGCAUAUUAUCCUCUUUAUUUAUUUGUUUAGAAAUAAGUUUAGCUGAAAAUGUGAAUCAAUUAGUAUUCGAACUUGGAAUCUCGGAUACCAACUAUCGAGUCCUUUACCACUUGAGCUAGGUACAGUCGGUCAUCCUAAACCGUGUACGAGUUUUGCUCAUGAUCUACAACUCGAUGCCUAAUCCAUGACGCACUUAUAUAUUCCUUUUCCUUUUCCAUCCGACCAUCAUGUCAAAAAUUUACAUAUAGCUACCGACUGUCCUUAUAGCACAAAUGACUAAGAGCUUGAAGAUUGAUAUCUGAGGUUUCAAAUUCGAAAUCUAGUUAUUUCAUAUUUUUAAUUAAAUUUAUUUUUUUUGAAAAGAACAAAAUAAGUAGCAUUCUGUCUUUACGUCAGAGAUAUAUGAGUUCAU